GGAAUAUAAGAAUCCGUCUUUUAGUUUCUAACUAAAAAAACUAAAAAUCGAUUCUUAAAUAAGACAUUUAAGAGUCGGUUUUUAGUUUUUUUAGUUAAAAAUUAAGAGACGGAUUUUUAUAUUCU
MicroRNA precursor from Brassica oleracea var. oleracea, 125 nucleotides. It matches the Rfam family "MIR9563 microRNA precursor family". The record is from Rfam. Lineage: Eukaryota; Viridiplantae; Streptophyta; Magnoliopsida; Brassicales; Brassicaceae.